Molecule: ribosomal RNA, 440 nt
Filed under: uncultured bacterium
Lineage: Bacteria
Description: partial 16S ribosomal RNA
Rfam family: Bacterial small subunit ribosomal RNA
Source: RNAcentral
CCUACGGGGUGCAGCAGUGGGGAAUAUUGCUCAAUGGGGGAAACCCUGAAGCAGCAACGCCGCGUGGGGGAAGAAGGUUUUGGGUAUGUAAACCCCUUUUGUUAGGGAAGAUUAUGACGGUAUCUGACGAAGAAGCACCGUCUAACUACGUGCCAGCAGCCGCGGGAAUACGCAGGGGGCAAGCGUUACUCGGAGUUACUGGGCGUAAAGAGUGAGUAGGCGGGGUAAUAAGUCAGAUGUGAAAUCCUGGAGCUUAACGACAGAACUGCAGUUGAAACUGGUACGCUGGAGUGUGGGAGAGGUAGGCGGAAUGCGUGGUGUAGGGGUAAAAUCCGUAGAGAUCGAGAGGAACACGCAUUGCGAAGGCGGCCUGCUGGAACAUUACUGACGCUGAGGCACGAAAGCGUGGGGAGCAAACAGGAUUAGAUACCCUGGUAGUC